AAUUGGGAAAAAUUAUUAAUUAAAAACAUAGAUACCACAUUGGAGAAAAUAAAAGCCCUAAAAGAAUAGAAACUAGUUCGGUAUCUAACAAAGAGUACCUUGGUCGCGGUAAUGAUGGAAAACCUGAAGAGUUCCCACGACUGGGAGAGAGAGAGGGGAGAGCAUGGGACGGUGAGAGAUUGGAAGGAAGAAUUGGUAUGUAGGGAUAGAUUCCGCAGGAGAUAGAGACUCAGAAGAACGUGCAAGGUGUGAAUGAGAGGAGAGUAGGUGGAUUUAGGGUUGACGUUAUUCUUCUCUUAAUUUUGGUAUGGGUAAAAUUGGGCUAAC
This 327-nucleotide long non-coding RNA is filed under the name Olea europaea subsp. europaea. The record is from RNAcentral. Lineage: Eukaryota; Viridiplantae; Streptophyta; Magnoliopsida; Lamiales; Oleaceae.